Molecule: ribosomal RNA, 572 nt
Filed under: uncultured bacterium
Lineage: Bacteria
Description: partial 16S ribosomal RNA
Rfam family: Bacterial small subunit ribosomal RNA
Source: RNAcentral
UGGGGAAUAUUGCACAAUGGGCGCAAGCCUGAUGCAGCCAUGCCGCGUGUGUGAAGAAGGCCUUCGGGUUGUAAAGCACUUUCAGCGAGGAGGAAGGUGGUGAGCUUAAUACGCUCAUCAAUUGACGUUACUCGCAGAAGAAGCACCGGCUAACUCCGUGCCAGCAGCCGCGGUAAUACGGAGGGUGCAAGCGUUAAUCGGAAUUACUGGGCGUAAAGCGCACGCAGGCGGUUUGUUAAGUCAGAUGUGAAAUCCCCGGGCUCAACCUGGGAACUGCAUUUGAAACUGGCAAGCUAGAGUCUCGUAGAGGGGGGUAGAAUUCCAGGUGUAGCGGUGAAAUGCGUAGAGAUCUGGAGGAAUACCGGUGGCGAAGGCGGCCCCCCUGGACGAAGACUGACGCUCAGGUGCGAAAGCGUGGGGCAGCAAACAGGAUUAGAUACCCUGGUAGUCCAGCGCUGUAAAACGAUGUCGAUUUGGAGGUUGUGCCCUUGAGGCGUGGCUUCCGGAGCUAACGCGUUAAAUCGACCGCCUGGGGGAGUACGGCCGCAAGGUUAAAACUUAAAUGAAUUGAC